RNAcentral lists this ribosomal RNA (449 nucleotides) under uncultured bacterium. RNAcentral's name for it is "bacterial SSU rRNA". It matches the Rfam family "Bacterial small subunit ribosomal RNA", at positions 354 to 796 of the family's 1533-position model. The record is from RNAcentral.
GUGGGGAAUAUUGGACAAUGGGCGAAAGCCUGAUCCAGCAAUACCGCGUGUGUGAAGAAGGCCUGAGGGUUGUAAAGCACUUUUAAUCGGGAGGAACAUCUGAUGGUUAAUACCCAUCAGUCUGACAUUACCGAUAGAAAAAGCACCGGCUAACUCCGUGCCAGCAGCCGCGGUAAUACGGAGGGUGCAAGCGUUAAUCGGAAUUACUGGGCGUAAAGCGUGCGUAGGCGGCCUGUUAAGUCAGAUGUGAAAGCCCCGGGCUUAACCUGGGAACUGCAUUUGAUACUGGGAGGCUAGAGUUUACUAGAGGGGAGUGGAAUUUCCGGUGUAGCGGUGAAAUGCGUAGAGAUCGGAAGGAACACCAGUGGCGAAGGCGACUCCCUGGAGUAAAACUGACGCUGAGGUACGAAAGCGUGGGUAGCAAACAGGAUUAGAAACCCCGGUAGUCC